GCCAGAGUGGCAAAGUGGUUUGAAUAUUGGAUUGUGACUCUGGAGAUCAGGGUUCGAUUCCCUGCUCAACCA
This is a non-coding RNA of Phrynosoma platyrhinos (Desert horned lizard), 72 nucleotides long. The record is from the annotation of a GenBank genome assembly. Lineage: Eukaryota; Metazoa; Chordata; Lepidosauria; Squamata; Phrynosomatidae.